This 737-nucleotide small RNA is filed under the name Arabidopsis thaliana (thale cress). RNAcentral's name for it is "ATSL089320". Lineage: Eukaryota; Viridiplantae; Streptophyta; Magnoliopsida; Brassicales; Brassicaceae. The record is from RNAcentral.
AACAUGAUUGAAUAAGAAAUCAAUGAAUAAAACAAGAGGAGAAUAAGGUUUAGAAGGAUCUUCUCUACAGGGAGUCUCCAUAGGGUUUUGCUCCCAAAGUACAGAAUUGAAAAAGGGAAUAGCCUCCCAAAGCUUAGGGUCUAAACAUUAACCUCAAAGCUAUAUAAAUAUGUCUUAAGAACGUGUUGGGCCUUCAUUAAACAUAGGAGAAAGUUUUGGGCCGAAUUCAAAAAAUCUUCAAAACAACAAUAAGUUGCGUCUUUCAAUUGCCGUCAGGUAUUGGUGUCGCACGACACCAGGGGUGGUGUCGUUCGACACCUACGUGCAUUUUCGUCUCUGGAUUGCUUCUUCAGCUUAAAUUGUAUGUUUUACUCCAGAAUGCUCCAUAAUCUUCAAAUGCAUCUAAAACAUGUAAAGACCUGAAAAAGACUAGAAAAAACUGUAUAAAUAACAAUUAGACUCUAAAGCCUAUACCUAAAACAUACUUAAAAACGGUAAAAAUAGGGAUAUAUCAAUGAAUCCUAACGAUUAAGAAAAAUAAUUCAUUCAGCACCAACCGAGGUAUAUACUAUUUUACGAUCAUGCCGUGUGAACUAAACAUGUAGGUGUGACAUACCAACGAUAAUCAUCUUGAAAAACGGUGGAGGUCUAUAUAGAUGACAUGCUCGUGAAAUCGUCAAAAGAGAGCGGUCACAUUUAAGACUUGGGAGAAUGCUUUAAUAUCUUGAACAAGCUUC